AGGUCUACCUCUGCUUAAGUUAA
Molecule: microRNA, 23 nt
Filed under: Tribolium castaneum (red flour beetle)
Lineage: Eukaryota; Metazoa; Arthropoda; Insecta; Coleoptera; Tenebrionidae
Description: tca-miR-3836a-5p
Source: miRBase by way of RNAcentral